RNAcentral lists this ribosomal RNA (564 nucleotides) under Parengyodontium album. Its description in RNAcentral is "eukaryotic LSU rRNA". It matches the Rfam family "Eukaryotic large subunit ribosomal RNA", at positions 62 to 648 of the family's 3401-position model. The record is from RNAcentral. Lineage: Eukaryota; Fungi; Ascomycota; Sordariomycetes; Hypocreales; Cordycipitaceae.
AAACCAACAGGGAUUGCCCCAGUAACGGCGAGUGAAGCGGCAACAGCUCAAAUUUGAAAUCUGGUCCCCAGGGCCCGAGUUGUAAUUUGUAGAGGACGCUUUUGGCGAGGCGCCUUCCGAGUUCCCUGGAACGGGACGCCACAGAGGGUGAGAGCCCCGUCUGGUCGGAUGCCAAGCCUAUGUAAAGCUCCUUCGACGAGUCGAGUAGUUUGGGAAUGCUGCUCAAAAUGGGAGGUAUAUGUCUUCUAAAGCUAAAUACCGGCCAGAGACCGAUAGCGCACAAGUAGAGUGAUCGAAAGAUGAAAAGCACUUUGAAAAGAGGGUUAAAAAGUACGUGAAAUUGUUGAAAGGGAAGCGCCUAUGACCAGACUUGGGCCCGGUGAAUCAUCCAGCGUUCUCGCUGGUGCACUUUGCCGGGCACAGGCCAGCAUCAGUUUGGCGCGGGGGAUAAAGGCUUCGGGAAUGUGGCUCCCCUCGGGGAGUGUUAUAGCCCGUUGUGUAAUACCCUGCGCCGGACUGAGGUACGCGCUCCGCAAGGAUGCUGGCGUAAUGGUCAUCAGCGAC